AACGCGAAGAACCUUACCUGGACUAGAAUGUGAGGGAAGGGCUUCUAACAGAGUCCGUCCGGGAAACCGGACCCAAAACAAGGUGCUGCAUGGCUGUCGUCAGCUCGUGUCGUGAGAUGUUGGGUUAAGUCCCGCAACGAGCGCAACCCUUAUCAACAGUUGCCAUCAUUAAGUUGGGAACUCUGUUGAGACUGCCAUUGAUAAAACGGAGGAAGGUGGGGAUGAUGUCAAGUCAUCAUGGCCUUUAUGUUCAGGGCUACACACGUGCUACAAUGGCCGGUACAAAACGUCGCAAUCCCGCAAGGGGGAGCUAAUCGCAAAAACCGGUCUCAGUUCGGAUUGAAGUCUGCAACUCGACUUCAUGAAGUUGGAAUCGCUAGUAAUCGCGGAUCAGAACGCCGCGGUGAAUACGUUCCCGGGUCUUGUACACACC
RNAcentral lists this ribosomal RNA (433 nucleotides) under uncultured soil bacterium. Its description in RNAcentral is "bacterial SSU rRNA". It matches the Rfam family "Bacterial small subunit ribosomal RNA", at positions 958 to 1391 of the family's 1533-position model. The record is from RNAcentral.